This 735-nucleotide ribosomal RNA is filed under the name Bacillus sp. FJAT-4671. RNAcentral's name for it is "bacterial SSU rRNA". It matches the Rfam family "Bacterial small subunit ribosomal RNA", at positions 59 to 776 of the family's 1533-position model. The record is from RNAcentral. Lineage: Bacteria; Bacillati; Bacillota; Bacilli; Caryophanales; Bacillaceae.
CAGUCGAGCGGACUAAUGGGAGCUUGCUCCCGUUAGUUAGCGGCGGACGGGUGAGUAACACGUGGGCAACCUACCUGUAAGACUGGGAUAACUUCGGGAAACCGGAGCUAAUACCGGAUGACAUAAAGGAACUCCUGUUCCUUUAUUGAAAGAUGGCUUCGGCUAUCACUUACAGAUGGGCCCGCGGCGCAUUAGCUAGUUGGUGAGGUAACGGCUCACCAAGGCGACGAUGCGUAGCCGACCUGAGAGGGUGAUCGGCCACACUGGGACUGAGACACGGCCCAGACUCCUACGGGAGGCAGCAGUAGGGAAUCUUCCGCAAUGGACGAAAGUCUGACGGAGCAACGCCGCGUGAGCGAUGAAGGCCUUCGGGUCGUAAAGCUCUGUUGUUAGGGAAGAAUAAGUGCUAGUUGAAUAAGCUGGCACCUUGACGGUACCUAACCAGAAAGCCACGGCUAACUACGUGCCAGCAGCCGCGGUAAUACGUAGGUGGCAAGCGUUGUCCGGAAUUAUUGGGCGUAAAGCGCGCGCAGGCGGUUUCUUAAGUCUGAUGUGAAAGCCCCCGGCUCAACCGGGGAGGGUCAUUGGAAACUGGGAAACUUGAGUGCAGAAGAGGAAAGUGGAAUUCCAAGUGUAGCGGUGAAAUGCGUAGAGAUUUGGAGGAACACCAGUGGCGAAGGCGACUUUCUGGUCUGUAACUGACGCUGAGGCGCGAAAGCGUGGGGAGCAAACAGG